UACGUAGGGUCCGAGCGUUGUCCGGAUUUAUUGGGCGUAAAGAGCUCGUAGGCGGUUUCGUAAGUCGGAUGUGAAAUCUCAGGGCUCAACCCGGAAACUGCACCCGAUACUGCGAUGACUUGAGUCUGGUAGGGGAACACGGAAUUCCUGGUGUAGCGGUGAAAUGCGUAGAUAUCUGGAGGAACACCGGUGGCGAAGGCGGCAUCCUGGACCGACACUGACGCUGAGGAGCGAAAGCCAGGGGAGCAAACGGG
This 254-nucleotide ribosomal RNA is filed under the name uncultured bacterium. Its description in RNAcentral is "partial 16S ribosomal RNA". It matches the Rfam family "Bacterial small subunit ribosomal RNA", at positions 524 to 776 of the family's 1533-position model. The record is from RNAcentral.